Molecule: transfer RNA, 81 nt
Filed under: Levilactobacillus brevis
Lineage: Bacteria; Bacillati; Bacillota; Bacilli; Lactobacillales; Lactobacillaceae
Description: Lactobacillus brevis tRNA-OTHER
Rfam family: tRNA
About the family: Transfer RNA (tRNA) molecules are approximately 80 nucleotides in length. Their secondary structure includes four short double-helical elements and three loops (D, anti-codon, and T loops).
Source: RNAcentral
CACGUAUAGCUUAGCUGGAAAAGCAGUGGCCUUCUAAACCACCGACGACCACCGACGCGGGUUCGAAUCCCGCUGCGUGCA